Small nucleolar RNA from Pan troglodytes (chimpanzee), 112 nucleotides. It matches the Rfam family "Small nucleolar RNA U13". The record is from Rfam. NCBI's taxonomy places the organism in Eukaryota, Metazoa, Chordata, Mammalia, Primates, Hominidae.
AGCCUCCCAAAGCACUGGGAGUGUGAUGACUAGGUUUUCACACUGGGUUUUCGUGUGUGAGAUAUGCCUUGCUCAAACCUUGUUACAGCACUGGCACAUUGCCUGUCGGAUG